This 494-nucleotide ribosomal RNA is filed under the name uncultured bacterium. RNAcentral's name for it is "partial 16S ribosomal RNA". It matches the Rfam family "Bacterial small subunit ribosomal RNA", at positions 28 to 507 of the family's 1533-position model. The record is from RNAcentral.
GACGAACGCUGGCGGCGUGCUUAACACAUGCAAGUCGAACGGUGAAGCGCCUUCCUUUUUGGUGGGUGUGGAUGAGUGGCGAACGGGUGAGUAACACGUGAGUAACCUGCCCCCUUCUUCUGGAUAACCGCAUGAAAGUGUGGCUAAUACGGGAUAUUCUGGGUCUGUCGCAUGAUGGGUCUGGGAAAGAUAUUGUUUCGGUGGGGGAUGGGCUCGCGGACUAUCAGGUUGUGGGUGGGGUGAUGGCCUACCAAGGCGGUGAGGGGUAGCCGGCCUGAGAGGAUGGGCGGCACCACAGGGGAGGCGCGACGGAGAAGACUCCUAGGGGCGGCAGCAGUGAGUAAUAGUGCAUGAGGGGAGCAAGGCUGAUGCAGCGACGCCGGGGGAGGGAUGGAGGUCUUCGGGUUGUGAACCUCUUUCGCCAGUGAAGCAGGCCUGCCUCGUUUGUGGGUGGGUUGACGGUAGCUGGAUAAGAAGCGCCGGCUAACUACGUG